This 472-nucleotide unclassified non-coding RNA is filed under the name Hevea brasiliensis (rubber tree). Lineage: Eukaryota; Viridiplantae; Streptophyta; Magnoliopsida; Malpighiales; Euphorbiaceae. The record is from RNAcentral.
CAUUUUCCUUCAUUUUCUUGAAAAAAACUUGUGAGAAUUGAUCAUGAUGCUCACCAAAGUUUGGAACUUUAAGCUCAAGAGGGACUUUUGUAAUCAUGGCUUCUAUGGGAAUAACAACCUUUUCUUGAUCAUUUGAGGUUUCUUGAGAAUUUGGAUCCAAAGGGACUAAUUGAUGUGUUGUGUCAACAAAUUGAGAUGAUUUUGGAGAUGGACAAAUGAAAUAAUUCAUGUUGAAUUCAUUCUUAGAAUUAUCAGAUGAAUAUUUUCUUGAAAAUAUCAUUUUUCCAUCAUCAUCAUGGAUUUGAAGGAAUCCAUCAUCAGGAAGAAUCUCCCACUCUUCAAGAUCCAUUUUUUAAGAAAAAUAAAAAAUAAAUCUAAGGAAGAAAAGGGGCUAGAAGAGUGAGGUGAUAUAGUUUUGAGAUUUUGAUUUUUUAUUGAUGCUGAAUUAUUGGAGUAAUAAUAAAAAGGUGGG